This 468-nucleotide ribosomal RNA is filed under the name uncultured bacterium. RNAcentral describes it as "partial 16S ribosomal RNA". It matches the Rfam family "Bacterial small subunit ribosomal RNA", at positions 28 to 507 of the family's 1533-position model. The record is from RNAcentral.
GACGAACGCUGGCGGCGUGCUUAACACAUGCGAGUCGAACGGAAAGGCCCUGCUUUUGUGGGGUGCUCGAGUGGCGAACGGGUGAGUAACACGUGAGUAACCUGCCCUUGACUUUGGGAUAACUUCAGGAAACUGGGGCUAAUACCGGAUAGGAGCUCCUGCUGCAUGGUGGGGGUUGGAAAGUUUCGGCGGUUGGGGAUGGACUCGCGGCUUAUCAGCUUGUUGGUGGGGUAGUGGCUUACCAAGGCUUUGACGGGUAGCCGGCCUGGGAGGGUGACCGGCCACAUUGGGACUGAGAUACGGCCCAGACUCCUACGGGAGGCAGCAGUGGGGAAUCUUGCACAAUGGGCGGAAGCCUGAUGCAGCAACGCCGCGUGCGGGAUGACGGCCUUCGGGUUGUAAACCGCUUUCGCCUGUGACGAAGCGUGAGUGACGGUAAUGGGUAAAGAAGCACCGGCUAACUACGUG